AGUGAACGCUGGCGGUAGGCCUAACACAUGCAAGUCGAACGGCAGCACAGAGGAGCUUGCUCCUUGGGUUGCGAGUGGCGGACGGGUGAGGAAUACAUCGGAAUCUACUCUGUCGUGGGGGAUAACGGAGGGAAACGUACUCUAAUACAGCAUACGACCUACUGGUGAAAGCAGGGGAUCUUCGGACCUUGCCCGAUUGAAUGAGCCGAUGUCGGAUUAGCUAGUUGGCGGGGUAAAGGCCCACCAAGGCGACGAUCCGUAGCUGGUCUGAGAGGAUGAUCAGCCACACUGGAACUGAGAAACGGUCCAGACUCCUACGGGAGGCAGCAGUGGGGAAUAUUGGACAAUGGGCGCAAGCCUGAUCCAGCCAUACCGCGUGGGUGAAGAAGGCCUUCGGGUUGUAAAGCCCUUUUGUUGGGAAAGAAAUCCAUCUGGUUAAUACCCGGGUGGGAUGACGGUACCCAAAGAAUAAGCACCGGCUAACUUCGUGCCAGCAGCCGCGGUAA
This 506-nucleotide ribosomal RNA is filed under the name uncultured bacterium. RNAcentral's name for it is "partial 16S ribosomal RNA". It matches the Rfam family "Bacterial small subunit ribosomal RNA", at positions 29 to 523 of the family's 1533-position model. The record is from RNAcentral.